This 253-nucleotide ribosomal RNA is filed under the name uncultured bacterium. RNAcentral's name for it is "partial 16S ribosomal RNA". It matches the Rfam family "Bacterial small subunit ribosomal RNA", at positions 524 to 776 of the family's 1533-position model. The record is from RNAcentral.
UACAUAAAGUGCAAACGUUGCUCGGAAUUAUUGGGCGUAAAGCGCGCGUAAGCGGUUACUCAAGUCGGAUGUGAAAGCCCUCGGCUUAACUGAGGAAGUGCACCCGAAACUGAGUAGCUAGAGUACUAAAGAGGGUCGCGGAAUUCCCGGUGUAAAAGUGAAAUUCGUAGAUAUCAAGAGGAACACCGGUGGCGAAGGCGGCGACCUGGGUAGAUACUGACGCUGAGGCGCGAAAGCGUGGGGAGCAAACAGG